This is a non-coding RNA of Delphinapterus leucas (beluga whale), 358 nucleotides long. The record is from RefSeq and is a predicted model, not a curated record. NCBI's taxonomy places the organism in Eukaryota, Metazoa, Chordata, Mammalia, Artiodactyla, Monodontidae.
AAUUAAGGUAUAUACAUUGUUUAGGCAUAAUGCUAUUGUACACAUAAUAGACAUAUAAGAUAGUAUGAACAUAAGUUUUAUAUGCACUGGAAAACCAACAAAUUUGUGUGACUCGCUUUACUGCAGUGGUCUGCCUCUACGUGUUAAUCAGCCAAGCCUGGGUAUUUCUCAGCGUCAUUAAGAUACUGCCUUUGGGGCUUAGAUCACCACGUUAAAGGUUGAUCUAAAAGGUUGAUCUAGGAGAUGAACUUACGGAACAGUUUAAUAAGUGGUGACUUUUUGCAUAUGAAUCGCCUCAAAUUUAGCCACCAGGUACUCUGUGUACAGUGUCUUUUUCAUAGGAGAUCCUCUUGUGCUG